Molecule: small nucleolar RNA, 127 nt
Filed under: Neotoma lepida (desert woodrat)
Lineage: Eukaryota; Metazoa; Chordata; Mammalia; Rodentia; Cricetidae
Description: Small nucleolar RNA SNORA25
Rfam family: Small nucleolar RNA SNORA25
About the family: ACA25 is a member of the H/ACA class of snoRNA that guide the sites of modification of uridines to pseudouridines.
Source: Rfam by way of RNAcentral
AGGUCAUUUCAAAGAGGGCUUGUUGGACCAUGAAACCAAAAGCUCUUAACGCUGUGACCAGAGAUUGAUGAUCUUCACAGAACAAAACCGGCACUUCAUAGUGUUGUUUUUCUGGGAAGAUAACACU